AAGUCGUAACAAGGUCUCCGUAGGUGAACCUGCGGAGGGAUCAUUACAGAGUUCAUGCCCUUACGGGUAGAUCUCCCACCCUGUGUUAUUAUUACUUUGUUGCUUUGGCGGGCCGCCUUGGCCACCGGCUCACGCUGGUGAGUGCCCGCCAGAGGACCCCAAACUCUGAAUGUUUAUGUCGUCUGAGUACUAUAUAAUAGUUAAAACUUUCAACAACGGAUCUCUUGGUUCUG
This 233-nucleotide unclassified non-coding RNA is filed under the name Leptodontidium sp. RNAcentral describes it as "partial contains small subunit ribosomal RNA, internal transcribed spacer 1, and 5.8S ribosomal RNA". The stretch from base 1 to 46 matches the Rfam family "Eukaryotic small subunit ribosomal RNA", at positions 1786 to 1831 of the family's 1831-position model. Lineage: Eukaryota; Fungi; Ascomycota; Leotiomycetes; Helotiales; Leptodontidiaceae. The record is from RNAcentral.